AAAAUUAAAGAAAAUGUAAAAUUCUUACAUUUUUCUCUAUAUAAUGAGAUCAAGAAGAUCAGAAGGAACAACACAGAGAACCACAACACACACACAAAAAAAACCCUAGAACUCUGAUUUUUUUUGUUUGUUUUGUUCUUCUUGUCAAUACACACAAUGGCUCACGGUCACACUAAUGGCGCCAUCAUCUCUCCUUUCUCCAAAGAUCUAUGUGAGGAACGUGAAAUCCAAAAGAAUUACUGGAAAGUGCACUCUGUAGGAUUGAGUGUUGAGGCCAUGAUGCUUGAUUCCAAAGCUGCUGACCUC
This is a non-coding RNA of Camelina sativa (false flax), 306 nucleotides long. Lineage: Eukaryota; Viridiplantae; Streptophyta; Magnoliopsida; Brassicales; Brassicaceae. The record is from RefSeq and is a predicted model, not a curated record.